This 453-nucleotide ribosomal RNA is filed under the name uncultured bacterium. Its description in RNAcentral is "bacterial SSU rRNA". It matches the Rfam family "Bacterial small subunit ribosomal RNA", at positions 8 to 507 of the family's 1533-position model. The record is from RNAcentral.
AGAGUUUGAUCAUGGCUCAGAACGAACGCUGGCGGCAGGCCUAACACAUGCAAGUCGAACGCCGUAGCAAUACGGAGUGGCAGACGGGUGAGUAACACGUGGGAACGUACCUUUCGGUUCGGAAUAACUCAGGGAAACUUGAGCUAAUACCGGAUACGUGCGAGAGCAGAAAGAUUUAUCGCCGAAAGAUCGGCCCGCGUCCGAUUAGCUUGUUGGUGAGGUAAUGGCUCACCAAGGCGACGAUCGGUAGCUGGUCUGAGAGGAUGAUCAGCCACACUGGGACUGAGACACGGCCCAGACUCCUACGGGAGGCAGCAGUGGGGAAUAUUGGACAAUGGGCGAAAGCCUGAUCCAGCCAUGCCGCGUGAGUGAUGAAGGCCUUAGGGUUGUAAAGCUCUUUUGUCCGGGAAGAUAAUGACGGUACCGGAAGAAUAAGCCCCGGCUAACUUCGUG